UUAGUUUUUUUCCCUUGAUUUUACCAGAUUGAAAACCUGAAAAUUGAAAAUAAUCAAAAGGAAGAUGGAUGAUCACAAGCCAUACAACCAAGCUAAACUGCUUGAAUUUGUGCACCAGGAGAGGCAUAAAGUUUUUCAAAAGCAGACCAUGCCACAUGAAGUUUGGAGGUGUGUAGUGAUGAACUCUGAAGCUACAUGAAGUUUGGAGGUGUGUAGUGAUGAACUCUGAAGCUACAUGAAGUUUGGGGGUGUGUAGUGAUGAACUCUGAAGCUACAUGAAGUUUGGAGGUGUGUAGUGAUGAACUCUGAAGCUACAUGAAGUUUGGAGGUGUGUAGUGAUGAACUCUGAAGCUACAUGAAGUUUGGAGGUGUGUAGUGAUGAUGAACUCUGAAGCUACAUGAAGUUUGGAGGUUUGUAGUGAUGAACUAAUCUGAAGCUACAUGAAGUUUGGGGGUGUGUAGUGAUGAACUCUGAAGCUACAUGAAGUUUGGAGGUGUGUAGUGAUGAACUCUGAAGCUACAUGAAGUUUGGAGGUGUGUAGUGAUGAACUCUGAAGCUACAUGAAGUUUGGGGGUGUGUAGUAAUGAACUCUGAAGCUACAUGAAGUUUGGAGGUUUGUAGUGAUGAACUCUGAAGCUACAUGAAGUUUGGAGGUGUGUAGUGAUGAACUCUGAAGCUACAUGAAGUUUGGAGGUGUGUAGUGAUGAACUCUGAAGCUACAUGAAGUUUGGAGGAGUGUAGUGAUGAUGAACUCUGAAGCUACAUGAAGUUUGGAGGUUUGUAGUGAUGAACUCUGAAGCUACAUGAAGUUUGGAGGUGUGUACUGAUUGGUGUAGUGACUCUGCAGGAAGUUGGUGAACUCUGUGCACUAUGCUCCUCAGCAUCCGCUGACCCCGCUCUGUUAUUUUACACUGACCGAGCACAGAGUCGCUGUCAUUCCCAGUCUCUUCCACUGUGUUAUAAUAUCACUGACAGUUGGCUGUGGAAUAUUUAGUAGUGAGUAGUGAAACUUCACGACUGGACUUGUUGCACAGGUGCUGCAUCCUAUCAAGGUACCACAGUGCUG
Astyanax mexicanus (Mexican tetra) is the source of this 1067-nucleotide long non-coding RNA. RefSeq lists it as uncharacterized. The transcript is spliced from 3 exons. NCBI's taxonomy places the organism in Eukaryota, Metazoa, Chordata, Actinopteri, Characiformes, Acestrorhamphidae. The record is from RefSeq and is a predicted model, not a curated record.